ACUAUCCUUAUAGGGACUCUCAUCACAAUAAUAGGCUCACACUGACUUCUCAUCUGAAUGGGACUAGAGGUAAAUAUACGAGCCAUUAUCCCAAUUUUAAUUUAAAAACAAGCCUCCACUCCACAGAAGCAGCUACCAACUAUUUCCUUACACAAGUACCUGCAUCCAUAAUCCUGAUAAUAGGGGUCAUUACCAAUAUACCGUACUCCUGAUGAUGAACAAUCAUAAACUCAAUCAAUCAAGUAGCAUCCUUAAUAAUAAUGGCCUUAACAAUAAAAUUAAGCAUAUCUCCUUUCCACUUUUGAGUCCCAGAAGUAACUAAAGGAAUCUCAUUGACAUCUGAGACAAAAUGUCACAUGACAAAAACUAGCCCCUAUUUCCAUUAUAUUUCAAAUUUUCUCCUCAAUAAACCCAAACAUUUUACUAGCGGCCACAAUGUUGUCUAUUCUGUUAGGUGGCUGAGGAGGGCUCAACUAAACACAACUGUGAAAAAUCUUAGCCUACUCAUCAAUUGCUCACAUGAGCUGAAUAAUUGCAAUCUUAACAUAUAACCCAAACAUUACUAUCCUAAACCUAAUUAUUUAUCUUAUCCUGACGGUAGCUAUAUUUAUAAUACUUAGUUCAAGCAUAGGCACUACAACUCUAUCACUAUCCCACGGCUGAAAUAAGAUACCAUGACUAGUAUCCAUAAUCCUACUUAUCCUGUUAUCCUUAGGAGACUUACCCCCAUUAAUAGGGUUCCUAUGCAAAUGGACUAUUAUUCAAGAAUUUACAAAAAAACAAUAGCCUUAUUAUACCCACUAUUAUAGCUACCAUAGCCCUAUUCAAUCUGUACUUUUAUAUGUGCCUAAUCUACUCUACUUCACUAUCCCCUACAUCUAAUAAUAUCAAA
Molecule: long non-coding RNA, 892 nt
Filed under: Homo sapiens (human)
Lineage: Eukaryota; Metazoa; Chordata; Mammalia; Primates; Hominidae
Description: non-protein coding lnc-NEUROG3-4:1
Source: RNAcentral